Molecule: ribosomal RNA, 2326 nt
Filed under: human gut metagenome
Description: bacterial LSU rRNA
Rfam family: Bacterial large subunit ribosomal RNA
Source: RNAcentral
UGCCAGAGAGGGUGAAAGCCCCGUAAGCGAAAGGAAAGACGACAUGGCGGAAUCCAGAGUACAUCGAGACACGAGAAACCUUGAUGGAAUGAGCGGGGACCACCCCGUAAGCCUAAAUACUCCUUAGUGACCGAUAGCGCAUAGUACUGUGAAGGAAAGGUGAAAAGGACCCCGGGAGGGGAGUGAAAGAGAACCUGAAACCCUGUGUUUACAAGCUGUGGAACAUCUUUAAAUGAUGAACCGCGUACUUUUUGUAGAACGGUCCGGCGAGUUACGCGUGCCGGCAAGGUUAAGCACUUAAGGUGUGGAGCCGAAGAGAAAUCGAGUCUGAACAGGGCGUUCAGUCAGCACGCGUAGACCCGAAACCGGGUGAUCUACCCAUGUCCAGGUUGAAGUUGCCGUAAAAGGCAAUGGAGGACCGAACGCACAUCCGUUGAAAAGGGUGGCGAUGAGGUGUGGGUAGGGGAGAAAUUCCAAUCGAACCCGGAGAUAGCUGGUUCUCCUCGAAAUAGCUUUAGGGCUAGCCUCAUUUUAGUCUUAUGGAGGUAGAGCACUGAAUUUCCGCGGGGGCGUCAAAGCUUACCAAAGAAUAUCAAACUCCGAAUGCCAUGUAGAUGAUGAAUGGGAGUCAGACUGCACGAGAUAAGUUGGGUGGUCAAAAGGGAAAGAGCCCAGACCUACAGCUAAGGUCCCAAAGUGCGUGUUAAGUGGAAAAGGAUGUGGGAUUUCAAAGACAACCAGGAUGUUGGCUCAGAAGCAGCCAUACAUUCAAAGAGUGCGUAACAGCUCACUGGUCGAGAGGUCCUGCGCCGAAAAUGUCCGGGGCUGAAACACGACACCGAAGCUUAGGAAUCACAUAGUGAUUGGUAGAGGAGCAUUCUUAAAACCGACGAAGCUGUACCGGAAGGAGCAGUGGAGGGAUAAGAAGAGAGAAUGCCGGAAUGAGUAGCGAGAGGAAGGUGGGAAUCCUUCCGGCCGAAUAUCUAAGGUUUCCAGAGUAAAGCUGAUCUGCUCUGGGUAAGUCGGGGCCUAAGGAGAGGUCGAAAGACGUAUCCGAUGGACAACAGGUUUAGAUUCCUGUACCACAUAUAAACAGAACUGUGGGGACGCAUGUGGAAAGCAUAAGCCGGGAAUGGAAAUACCGGUACAAACGGAAGAGGUGUCAGGCUGGCAAAUCCGCCUGGCAAGCCAAAGACGUGAUGUGGAGCGAAAUAAAAGUAGCGAAGUAUGUGAGCCAUGUGCCGAGAAAAGCCGCUAUUGUUUUAUAUGUGCCCGUACCGUAAACCGACACAGGUGGAUGAGGAGAGAAUCCUAAGGCCGACGGAAGAAGCAUUGUUAAGGAACUCGGCAAAAUGACCCCGUAACUUCGGGAGAAGGGGUGCCCACUUCAGGGUGGGCCGCAGAGAAUAGGCUCAAGCAACUGUUUAGCAAAAACACAGGUCUAUGCGAAACCGUAAGGUGAAGUAUAUGGGCUGACGCCUGCCCGGUGCUGGAAGGUUAAGAGGAGAGGUUAGUCGCAAGAUGAAGCUUUGAAUUUAAGCCCCAGUAAACGGCGGCCGUAACUAUAACGGUCCUAAGGUAGCGAAAUUCCUUGUCGGGUAAGUUCCGACCCGCACGAAAGGCGUAAUGAUUUGAGCACUGUCUCGACAAUGCAUCCGGUGAAAUUGAAGUACCAGUGAAGAUGCUGGUUACCCGCGCCAGGACGGAAAGACCCCAUGGAGCUUUACUCCAGUUUGGUACUGGGAUUCGGUACUGCAUGUACAGGAUAGGUGGGAGACUGAGAAAUUGGAACGCCAGUUUCAAUGGAGUCACUGUUGGGAUACCACCCCUGCAGUAUUGGGUUUCUAACCAGCCGCUGUGAUCCAGCGGUGGGACAAUGCCAGGCGGGGAGUUUGACUGGGGCGGUCGCCUCCGAAAGGGUAUCGGAGGCGCUCAAAGGUUCCCUCAGAAUGGUCGGAAACCAUUUGAAGAGUGCAAAGGCAGAAGGGAGCUUGACUGCGACACCGACGGGUGGAGCAGGUACGAAAGUAGGACUUAGUGAUCCGGUGGCAUAAAGUGGGAUUGCCAUCGCUCAACGGAUAAAAGCUACCCUGGGGAUAACAGGCUUAUCACUCCCAAGAGUUCACAUCGACGGAGUGGUUUGGCACCUCGAUGUCGGCUCAUCGCAUCCUGGGGCUGUAGCAGGUCCCAAGGGUUGGGCUGUUCGCCCAUUAAAGCGGUACGCGAGCUGGGUUCAGAACGUCGUGAGACAGUUCGGUCCCUAUCCGGCGCGGGCGGAGGAUAUUUGAGAGGAGCUGUCCUUAGUACGAGAGGACCGGGAUGGACG